UAUUAGGUGAAUUUUAGAAAUAUUACUAUAUGUCUAGUGCCUAGGGUGUAAUAGUUGCUCAGUAAGUCUUUGCUGAAGGAAGGAGAAAGGGAGGGAAGAAAGAUACAGAAAUCUCUGCUCUUUAGCAGAUUUUCUGACAUCUCCUUAGUCAAUAUUAUGCAGGCAAAGCAGCCAUAGCAACAGCAGGAGUAACAUAACAUGUCAUUUUUCGUGCUUUGAAGACCUGUUUUCAUAGAUACAGUGCAAUGUCAUUGCUCUUGAACCCAUUUGCUUGAUAAGCAAAAUCUAAUUGCUAGGAAAUACAGAAGUCGUAAACCACCUUGGAUAGCAGGAUGAAAUGCUAAUAGGUACAAGAAUGUUGCCACAAAGCUCACCAAUUAAUUAUUUGAAAGUGGGCUUGGGUAAAGAAAAUAGCACAAAGAAAAAGAAUAUGUUGGAAAACAGCUAUUCUGAGAUAGCUGGAGACACAAAAGCAGCUCACCAGAGCAGACAUUCUGCUCCUUGAUAAAGCUAACAAAACAGUGGACCUUAUUGAUGUAGCUGUUUCCUGCAGCAGAAGCAUCACAAAAAUCUGUCCAGACAAAACAAACAAGUAUGCAGCCCUGGCAGAAGAGCUGACGUUAAGUGUGGAAACUGAGGAACAUCAAAGUCAAGGCAGCUAUCAUCUUGGCAAGAGGGAUGUUGUUCUCUGCACAAGCUGUACAUCUGGAGGCCACAGCAAAAGGAUCCUGGCAAAAGUUCAAUUCCAUGGAACAGAAGUGAUGGCAUUUUUCAGGUACCCCGGAAAGAACACCACUUUGCGAACCCCACUAAAUAAGAACUUUCUUUCUGCUGGACUAUGACUGGUGAUGUGCUGCGACUCUUUGGGAGAUGUUGGUCUGGAAGGGGCUUGGUUCAUAACGAUAUGAAGUCAGCAGCUUGCACCAGGUAUCUGUCACAUCUCAAGCUUUGAACAAGGUAGGUGAUGGAUAAGGGAACUUCGCAUUCACUUUUAUCCACAAUGUCAGGGCACCCUGGCCACCCUGCCCGAGUGUUUCAAUUUCCUCACCCUCCUGCCUCCCCCAUGCCUUUCAUCAAGCCUUGGAGGUAAUUGCUCCAUGCACAAACAGCUUGCGGCCUAGUGUGCAAGUAACAAUUAGUUUAGAGGCUGUGAUCUAUAAAUUUUGAGGAGAAGGAAAGAGGCCUUGGUGCACUUGGGCUAUCGUUUCUAAUGAAGAAAAAUAGCACACCGGAAGGGAUCCAGAGUGUUAUUGAAGCAACUUAAUAUCAUCUGGUCAUGAUUUGCAGGCCUUGAUAAUGUCUUGUGAUCUUGGGGGAAAGAAAAAAAAGGGGGUGGGGGAGUAAGUUGUUGUUGUUUGUGUUUCUUAGAAAAAAAAAAAAAAAAAACCCUCACUCUGUGUUUAUGAGAUUUACGACAUGCGGACCACCAUCUGUAUAAACCCCACCAAUCUUCCAUCACUGUCUCUUCAGCUCUGUAAACUAGACCGUCCAGAGAGGGACACCAUAGGAAUGUCGUCCUAUUUAUUGUUUGUAAAAAUAAACUGGCCGGCCAGAGAUGUAUGUGAGGAAUUUACACACAGCAGCUGCACAAGCAAGUGUGCGAGGGACGCGGGGGCUGAGGAAGUCGGGAGGGGAGGCGAUGUGACCCCCAGCACAGCGCACGCCCUCUCCCAUCAGCCCGGAGAGGACCACUUUGGGAGAUAAAAGGAAAGGCGGGGAGGUGGGAGGGAGGGAGAGAGCCAGAUUCAAUAUCCAACCAGGUCAGACCCCCUUUCUCUUUGUCAAACCAAAGCGUUGCUGCAUUUGGAAUGCUGGCCUAGAAAGAGCACAUCUUCCUUCCAAGAGGAGACACUGGGAUGAGCCCCGAGGGGUGGCCAUGUGUUCCUUUUGGGGACCAAAGAGCAAAACAAGAAACAAAGCCCCAUCAGAGUCUUCCUGAUGAGUCGCUGUUUUAAAAGCAGGGUGCGGUCUGUUUUUGGCUUUGACUAGGGAGCAGGAUCGAGUAGGGGUUGGCCCCUCUCAUGAAGCACGUAGGAAGCACAUGCUUGGCUUCUGUCAGCCAGCCCCUGCCACAGAGCCUCAUACUGCUGGUCUGAGCUUUGCUACUUAUGUGUUAGCUGGGCUGUCUCAGGAAGGUCCAGGCAGGAGGAGGGCAGAUCUGCUCUCUUUAGAUUUGUCUCUGAAUCCAAAUGACAAAGACAAGACUAAGAUUCAGAAGUUUAACAAUGUCAUGGUUGAAAUAGCAGCAAUAAGCCAGGCACAGUGGUUCACGCCUGUAAUCCCAGCACUUUGGGGGUCAAGGCGGGCAGAUCACAA
Non-coding RNA from Macaca mulatta (Rhesus monkey), 2316 nucleotides. The record is from RefSeq and is a predicted model, not a curated record. Lineage: Eukaryota; Metazoa; Chordata; Mammalia; Primates; Cercopithecidae.